RNAcentral lists this ribosomal RNA (773 nucleotides) under uncultured Streptococcus sp. RNAcentral describes it as "bacterial SSU rRNA". It matches the Rfam family "Bacterial small subunit ribosomal RNA", at positions 28 to 776 of the family's 1533-position model. The record is from RNAcentral. Lineage: Bacteria; Bacillati; Bacillota; Bacilli; Lactobacillales; Streptococcaceae.
GACGAACGCUGGCGGCGUGCCUAAUACAUGCAAGUAGAACGCACAGGAUGCACCGUAGUUUACUACACCGUAUUCUGUGAGUUGCGAACGGGUGAGUAACGCGUAGGUAACCUGCCUGGUAGCGGGGGAUAACUAUUGGAAACGAUAGCUAAUACCGCAUAAGAACAUUUACUGCAUGGUAGAUGUUUAAAAGGUGCAAGAGCAUCACUACCAGAUGGACCUGCGUUGUAUUAGCUAGUUGGUGAGGUAACGGCUCACCAAGGCAACGAUACAUAGCCGACCUGAGAGGGUGAUCGGCCACACUGGGACUGAGACACGGCCCAGACUCCUACGGGAGGCAGCAGUAGGGAAUCUUCGGCAAUGGGGGAAACCCUGACCGAGCAACGCCGCGUGAGUGAAGAAGGUUUUCGGAUCGUAAAGCUCUGUUGUUAAGGAAGAACGUGUGUGAGAGUGGAAAGUUCACACAGUGACGGUACUUAACCAGAAAGGGACGGCUAACUACGUGCCAGCAGCCGCGGUAAUACGUAGGUCUCGAGCGUUGUCCGGAUUUAUUGGGCGUAAAGCGAGCGCAGGCGGUUAGAUAAGUCUGAAGUGAAAGGCAGUGGCUCAACCAUUGUAGGCUUUGGAAACUGUUUAACUUGAGUGCAGAAGGGGAGAGUGGAAUUCCAUGUGUAGCGGUGAAAUGCGUAGAUAUAUGGAGGAACACCGGUGGCGAAAGCGGCUCUCUGGUCUGUAACUGACGCUGAGGCUCGAAAGCGUGGGGAGCGAACAGG